This 867-nucleotide ribosomal RNA is filed under the name uncultured bacterium. RNAcentral describes it as "bacterial SSU rRNA". It matches the Rfam family "Bacterial small subunit ribosomal RNA", at positions 24 to 888 of the family's 1533-position model. The record is from RNAcentral.
UCAGAUUGAACGCUGGCGGCAGGCCUAACACAUGCAAGUCGAGCGGUAACAGAAAGUAGCUUGCUACUUUGCUGACGAGCGGCGGACGGGUGAGUAAUGCUUGGGAACAUGCCUUGAGGUGGGGGACAACAGUUGGAAACGACUGCUAAUACCGCAUAAUGUCUACGGACCAAAGGGGGCUUCGGCUCUCGCCUUUAGAUUGGCCCAAGUGGGAUUAGCUAGUUGGUGAGGUAAUGGCUCACCAAGGCGACGAUCCCUAGCUGGUUUGAGAGGAUGAUCAGCCACACUGGGACUGAGACACGGCCCAGACUCCUACGGGAGGCAGCAGUGGGGAAUAUUGCACAAUGGGCGCAAGCCUGAUGCAGCCAUGCCGCGUGUGUGAAGAAGGCCUUCGGGUUGUAAAGCACUUUCAGUCAGGAGGAAAGCGUGGUGGUUAAUACCCAUCAUGUGUGACGUUACUGACAGAAGAAGCACCGGCUAACUCCGUGCCAGCAGCCGCGGUAAUACGGAGGGUGCGAGCGUUAAUCGGAAUUACUGGGCGUAAAGCGUACGCAGGCGGUUUGUUAAGCGAGAUGUGAAAGCCCCGGGCUCAACCUGGGAACUGCAUUUCGAACUGGCAAACUAGAGUGUGAUAGAGGGUGGUAGAAUUUCAGGUGUAGCGGUGAAAUGCGUAGAGAUCUGAAGGAAUACCGAUGGCGAAGGCAGCCACCUGGGUCAACACUGACGCUCAUGUACGAAAGCGUGGGGAGCAAACGGGAUUAGAUACCCCGGUAGUCCACGCCGUAACGAUGUCUACUAGAAGCUCGGAGCCUCGGUUCUGUUUUUCAAAGCUAACGCAUUAAGUAGACCGCCUGGGGAGUACGGGCC